AGGGGGUCUGGUUUUAUAGUCCCUUCAAGUGAAUAUGGGCCCUUGGAUCAAACCGACAUAGAUUGUAUGGUUUAGAUUCAUCCAUUAGGUCGGUGGAGAUCUCCCGCAAAGCAGAGUCCUGAUUGGACACAGAGGGUGGGCGGGCGCCCUGACCAACUGGGCGGCCGCCCAGGGUCUGGCCCCGUUUCGCCUCCGCUUCGGUCUCGUGGCUUCUGGAGUCUUCUAGAUGUAAGAUAAUUGCGCAGCACGUUAAUAUCUUUACGUAAUCCUGACAUGUGGGCCUUUCUUCCAUAUUUCCUGAUAACCCCCUGCUGAAAUAGACAAACACCAAAAGUCGUGGAAUUCUGUCAGAUAAAACCCUAAGUCUAGAUCUUGAUUUUAUUUGGAUCCUUUUCUUUAUUUAUUUGAUAAUUAAAUUUGAUACUUAAGGACCAUCAACAGUGGCAUAAAAUAAAUAUGUUUUCAUCUUACAAUGAAAAUAUAAAAAUAAUAAGUGCAUGAUCCUGCUAAAUAAAUAACAUUUAUUGAGGAGGCUCAACAUGAUAAAGGCUAGAUAUUUAUGCUAACACUUAACCAGUUCCACAAAGCUUUGUUGUCUAUUUGAGCUCCACAGAACUGAAGGAUCAAAGAAGACUAGCAGACGGAGGACAUCCUAAUCGCUGUCAGGGUGCUGCUGACAUUCAAAUACACCUCCGUCACCUGCUAGCUACAUCAGAAGAAAUUACGUCAAAAUCCAGCUUGGGGAGAGCACCCCCAUUUAUCGAGCUAAGUGUUUCUACUCGCAUUUAUACUUUACUCAAAUAAUAAAAAGAUGCAUAAUUAUAAAAACCCAAAUAAAGAUUUUGUGCUUUUAUAUAUAUCUUUGCUUAGUUUGCUAAAUAAAUAAAUAAAGUUUGCAAUGAACCCUCAUGAUAAGCUCUCACAUGGAAAUGAUGAAUAGUUGCUCUGCCAUGACUAGUUCUUAAAAUUGAAAUCUCUCUCAGGUUUAGGCAUAACUGUUAUGAAUUAAGAUUUGCUCUAAACCUGAACUUGUGGGAGGAGUACUUGAUCUAAAGUCUAAGUCGUUAAUGGAUAUGAUAUGGGAAGGUUGAGCUGCUGUUUAUCUGUUUCUAGAGAUGCUAGAAUUUUGGAGAAUUUUAUCUUUGAAAAUCUUUAAAAUAACACAUGAUGAGUUCAUGUAUGAUGAGAGUUUAAAAUCCUACCACAGCCACAUAUACAUGCUUAUUAGACUAUGAACCAUAUAUUUACUUUUUACUGCUUAUGAGCAUUGAGUGUGGUCAAGCUGUGUAGACCCUUAGGAGCUUGUCAUGUGGUUAAAAUCAAGAUUCACUUGCAUGUUCACUCGUAUAUGCUGCUUCUAUUUCGGAAGUACGCAUCCACAUACAUCCACUCAUUUCCAUCUCCAGAUUCACCCAAAAUUAUUCUACUCCUAAUCCGGGAGAGAAUAGCCAAAAACAUUUUCCUAUCCCUGUUAUUCCCUGUGAAAUAAAUGCUCCAGUUAUUUUGGUUACUACCACUUGCUACAUUAUUUCAGGAGAUGAGUGCUCUAAAAAAAAGAAGAAAAAAAAAUAAUAUACGAGGAAAUAAAAAGGGGCAAGUGCCCGGAACCUCGAAGAAAAGAAAAAGUGAGACGAGAGGUAAAAAUGGACAAGUGUCCGACAGUAGAAUUAGGGGUACAAGAUACCCACCUGAGAAGAAAUAAAAAGAAAAUAUAGAGCAUCUCAUUCUCCUCAAAAAGUUUCAAAGUGCAAGAAAGGUAUGUAUCCCCUAAAAAGAGCAAAAGUAGAAUUAGACUUUCACCAUUGUUAUCACCAUCAUUACCAUACACCAUUCACUCGCCACACAUACACAUCUUGAUUUGACUUAUUGACUUGUUCUUCUGGAUCCAUGGUUUGACUAUACAAUAAAUGUCUUGUAAGUAUGUAUUAUCUGUCUCCCACCUAUGAGCUCCAGAUAUCAAAACCUUAUUAGAGUAGGGUGAGAGAGAAGGCAAUAUCACUAUGCCUCAUACCACAAAUACUACAUACUUUGAGAGAAGGCAUAUAUCAUCACUGCCUUGGUAAGGAUCCAUAAAUACCAUAAAAGAGAGAUCUGAGAGAGUCAUACAAGAAUCUCUGAGUUUUAUUUGAAAAUCUACAAAAACCUCCAGAGCUAUAGCUGAUCAAGAAUAAGAGACAUGGCGCUUGACUUGACCGUUCUAUCUUUUAACUACUCAAGACACAAGUGACGGUAGCAAGCCCCAUGGUGGAAGGUAAUAUGAGAAAGUUUAAAUCUUAACAGUUUACCCUAACUUAGAGAUGAGAUCUGGUUUAAACGCAUGUGUAUCUUUAAGGCAUAAAACCACUGCAGAAACUCUUGAGUCCAUCCUUGCUCAGGGUCGAGCAAGAGGUAAGCUUGGGGGAGUUGUUGACGGUCCUUAAGUACCAAAUAUAAUCAUCAAAUAAAUAAAGAAAAGGAUCCAAAUGCAACCAACUCCCAGACUUAGGGUUUUAUCUGACAGAAUUCCACGAGUUUUGGUGUUUGUCUAUUUCUGCAGGGGGUUAUCAGGAAAUACGGAAGAAAGGCCCACAUGUCAGGAUUACAUAGAGAUAUCAACACACCGUGCAAUUUUCUACCAUCUAGAGGACUCCAGAAGCCAUGGGAAGAAAGCAGAGGCCGAAAGGGGCCAGGCCCAGGGCGCCCGCCCUGAGGACCUGGGCGCUCGCCCUCUGUUGGAUGCCAAUCAGGACUCUCUUCGCACACGACGUUCCACCGACCUAAAGGAUCAAGGAUAACAUAGUACCACAUCACCUGCUGGACCAAAAACGCACAAAGGAGGAGGGCUAUAUAAGCAAGGCCCCAGGCCCCUGGAGGAGAACAAGUUUAUCAUAGAGUUGAGGGGUGCCCUCGAAGGAAAACCUCUUCUCUAAAUAGAAUUUCUUUUUAGGCUUAGCAACCAAUGUAAGUAGAAAUAGAUCUUCUAGUUUCUACUAGAUUGAGAGAUAUAGAGUGGAGGUGUAGAUCGGAGGAAGGCCGGCC
This 3018-nucleotide long non-coding RNA is filed under the name Sorghum bicolor (sorghum). RNAcentral describes it as "long non-coding RNA (SBIC_LNC008639)". The record is from RNAcentral. Lineage: Eukaryota; Viridiplantae; Streptophyta; Magnoliopsida; Poales; Poaceae.